Xylariaceae sp. FL0804 is the source of this 103-nucleotide non-coding RNA. NCBI's taxonomy places the organism in Eukaryota, Fungi, Ascomycota, Sordariomycetes, Xylariales, Xylariaceae. The record is from the annotation of a GenBank genome assembly.
CUCCCAAUAGCUCAGUUGGUUUAGAGCGUUCGGCUGUAAUUGAAAAUGUCCCCUUGUGGGAGUUGCCACCGAAAGGUCACCUGUUCGACUCAGGUUUGGGAGA